CCCCCCAUACCCUCACCCCCCGCCCCCAACUUCACAAAGAGGACGAGCGCAGCCCCCCCAAGCCCGCGGCCUCCACCCACCUUUCCCCUCGACGCCGGGCCCGUAGACCUUGACGCCGGCCGUGUCGAGGGCGGGCUCGACGCGCACCUUGCUGGGGAAGUGGGGCACGGGCUGCCCGCCGUACUCCACCGUGAUGGUGUAGACGCCGGGGCUGAGCGGCGUGUAGGCGAUGGUGUAGGUGCCGUCGCCGUUGUCCUCCACCCGCACCUCGGCCCUCGCCCCGGCCUCCGAGGCGAUGCCGAUGGUCAGCUCGGCGCUGCCGGCGCGGCUGCAGUCCACGCGGAAGUGGCCGGGCUGCCCGGCCGUGCCGCCCUCCAGCCCGGGCCCCGAGCACGUCACCUUGGAGGGGUCGAAGGGGGCGCGGACGGGGGCGCCCACCUUGCCCUGGCCCCCGGCGCCCUUGGUCUUCACCGUGAACUCCUGGUCCUUGCCCACCUCCGGCUCUGGGGGGGGGGAAGGGGGGAAAAAAAAGUUUGGGGGGGUGAGCGGACCCCAAAAUGACCCCGCGGCACGCGGCUCUCGGCCCCGAAACACCCCGGAUCCGCCUCAGAAUAACCCACGGCUCUCGGCCCCGAAAGAACCCGAAUCUGUGUUAAAAUAACCCAUUUGUCAGCCCCAAAAAGACCCUGAAUCCACCCUGAAAUAACCCACAGCUGUCAGCCCCAAAAAGACCCCAAAUCCACCUUGAAAUAACGUGUGAACCCCCCAGAAGACCCCGAAUCCAUCCAGAAAUAACCCACAAGUCAGCCCCAAAAGACCCCGGAUCCAUCUGGAAAUAAUCUCGGCCCCAAAAGACCCCAAAUCCCCCUUGAAAUAAUCUGCGUGUUAGCCCCAAAAGACCCCAAAUCCACCUUAAAAUAACCCAUCUGUCAGCCCCAAAAAGACCCCGAAUCUAUCCUGAAAUAACCCACGGCUCUCGGACCCCAAAGAACCCGAAUCUGUCUUAAAAUAACCCAUUUGUCAGCCCCAAAAAGACCCUGAAUCCGCCCUGAAAUAACCCACAACUGUCAGCCCCAAAAAGACCCCGAAUCCGCCCUGAAAUAACCCACAGCUGUCAGCCCCAAAAAGACCCCGAAUCCGCCUUGAAAUAACCUGUGAGCCCCCAAAAGACCCCAAAUCCACCUCAAAAUAACCCGCAUCUGUCAGCCCCAAAAGAUUCCAAAUCUAUCCUGAACUAACCCACAGCUCUCGGCCCCCAAAGACCCCAAAUCCGCCAUAAAAUAACCUGUGAGCCCCAAAAGACCCCAAAUCCGCCUUAAAAUAAUUUCUGUGAACCCCAAAAGACCCCGAAUCCAUCCAGAAAUAACCCACAAGUCAGCCCCAAAAGACCCCGGAUCCAUCCGGAAAUAAUCUCGGCCAUAAAAGACCCCAAAUCUGCCUCGAAAUAACCCACGUUUAUUGACCCCCAAAAGACUCCGAAUCUGCCCUGAAAUAACUUCCGUGAACCCCAAAAAGAUCCCAAACCCCCCCCAAAAACCCUUUUCAAACCCCCC
Molecule: long non-coding RNA, 1553 nt
Organism: Anser cygnoides (Swan goose)
Lineage: Eukaryota; Metazoa; Chordata; Aves; Anseriformes; Anatidae
Source: Ensembl